This 468-nucleotide ribosomal RNA is filed under the name uncultured bacterium. RNAcentral's name for it is "partial 16S ribosomal RNA". It matches the Rfam family "Bacterial small subunit ribosomal RNA", at positions 28 to 507 of the family's 1533-position model. The record is from RNAcentral.
GACGAACGCUGGCGGCGUGCUUAACACAUGCAAGUCGAACGGAAAGGCCCUGCUUUUGUGGGGUGCUCGCGUGGCGAACGGGUGAGUAACACGUGAGUAAACUGCCCUUGUCUUUGGGGUAACUUCAGGAAACUGGGGCUAAUACCGGAUAGGAGCUCCUGCUGCAUGGUGGGGGUUGGAAAGUUUCGGCGGUUGGGGAUGGACUCGCGGCUUAUCAGCUUGUUGGUGGGGUAGUGGCUUACCAAGGCUUUGACGGGUAGCCGGCCUGAGAGGGUGACCGGACACAUUGGGACUGAGAUACGGCCCAGACUCCUACGGGAGGCAGCAGUGGGGAAUAUUGCACAAUGGGCGGAAGCCUGAUGCAGCAACGCCGCGUGCGGGAUGACGGCCUUCGGGUUGUAAACCGCUUUCGCCUGUGACGAAGCGUGAGUGACGGUAAUGGGUAAAGAAGCAACGGCUAACUACGUG